CAGUUGUUUAUACAGAAGCAAUUAAUAUCAAUGGACCGCAACUUUGCAAAUGUGAGUUGCAAUUUGAAAGUGAAUAUCCAGUGUGAGUCAUGCCAGAAGAAGAUAAUGGAAGUGUUGCACUCUAUAAGAGAGAAGAGCCUAUGAACUGGUGCAGCAUUCUGUGAUGAUGAGGAAGCAGAUCGUCUGAUGUUUAAAGUUCUUAGUACUGAACUUGUCGUGUUUUUGAAAUGACGAGUUUAGAAUUUACUGUUUGUUUAAAUUUUAGUGUU
This is a long non-coding RNA of Capsicum annuum, 269 nucleotides long. RefSeq lists it as uncharacterized. NCBI's taxonomy places the organism in Eukaryota, Viridiplantae, Streptophyta, Magnoliopsida, Solanales, Solanaceae. The record is from RefSeq and is a predicted model, not a curated record. The transcript is spliced from 3 exons.